GAGAUCGUAGCUCAGUCGGUAGAGCAACGGACUUUUAAUCCGUAGGUCCUGGGUUCGAGCCCCAGCGAUCUCA
RNAcentral lists this transfer RNA (73 nucleotides) under Blastopirellula marina. Its description in RNAcentral is "tRNA-Lys". It matches the Rfam family "tRNA". Rfam says of the family: Transfer RNA (tRNA) molecules are approximately 80 nucleotides in length. Their secondary structure includes four short double-helical elements and three loops (D, anti-codon, and T loops). The record is from RNAcentral. RNAcentral also lists the same sequence under 2 other names. Lineage: Bacteria; Pseudomonadati; Planctomycetota; Planctomycetia; Pirellulales; Pirellulaceae.